RNAcentral lists this long non-coding RNA (352 nucleotides) under Panax ginseng (ginseng). Its description in RNAcentral is "long non-coding RNA (PGIN_LNC015359)". Lineage: Eukaryota; Viridiplantae; Streptophyta; Magnoliopsida; Apiales; Araliaceae. The record is from RNAcentral.
UGAUAUUCUUUACUGGGCUAGUUGUGCUCACCCUUUUGCUUCACAAUUCCUUUCAGGUAAUAAGAGUGUAGCUGGGUCGAGCGGGGAUAACAGGGAAAUAGUGAGAUGGUUCGAGACUGUCGAAGUUUCUCAAAACAUUAUAAAACGGCAUGACAUACAAUAUAUAAUUGUAUUGAGGACCUAAGAUGUGGGUGUCGUAUUUUAUACGUCACAUAAUAUUUAAUUUUGGUGAACUAUAAUAGGGUGAAGUGAACCCGACUUUGGAAGCGUUAUUUUCUGCUGUAUUAUAUAUGACAUUGUAAUAAUUUGAAUUUGGAUACUGUCUAUGAGACUAUAUUGUAUUAAAACUCAC